GGGUUGUGAGGUUAAGCGACUAAGCGUACACGGUGGAUGCCCUGGCAGUCAGAGGCGAUGAAGGGCGUGCUAAUCUGCGAUAAGCGCCGGUAAGGUGAUAUGAACCGUUAUAACCGGCGAUACCCGAAUGGGGAAACCCAGUGUGACUCGUCACACUAUCAUUAACUGAAUCCAUAGGUUAAUGAGGCGAACCGGGGGAACUGAAACAUCUAAGUACCCCGAGGAAAAGAAAUCAACCGAGAUUCCCCCAGUAGCGGCGAGCGAACGGGGAGGAGCCCAGAGCCUGAAUCAGCAUGUGUGUUAGUGGAAGCGUCUGGAAAGGCGCGCGAUACAGGGUGACAGCCCCGUACACAAAAGCGCAUGUGCUGUGAGCUCGAUGAGUAGGGCGGGACACGUGGUAUCCUGUCUGAAUAUGGGGGGACCAUCCUCCAAGGCUAAAUACUCCUGACUGACCGAUAGUGAACCAGUACCGUGAGGGAAAGGCGAAAAGAACCCCGGCGAGGGGAGUGAAAAAGAACCUGAAACCGUGUACGUACAAGCAGUGGGAGCCCCACCACUAAGCCAGUGGUGAACUCCACAUACGCAUCCUUUGCUGAGGAUACGGUUAACGGAGCGAAAGCGACGUUCAACCGCAAAAGAAGCAGAGGGGGCUUAGUGGUGGGGUGACUGCGUACCUUUUGUAUAAUGGGUCAGCGACUUAUAUUCUGUAGCAAGGUUAACCGUAUAGGGGAGCCGGAGGGAAACCGAGUCUUAACCGGGCGUUAAGUUGCAGGGUAUAGACCCGAAACCCGGUGAUCUAGCCAUGGGCAGGUUGAAGGUUGGGUAACACUAACUGGAGGACCGAACCGACUAAUGUUGAAAAAUUAGCGGAUGACCUGUGGCUGGGGGUGAAAGGCCAAUCAAACCGGGAGAUAGCUGGUUCUCCCCGAAAGCUAUUUAGGUAGCGCCUCGUGAAUUCAUCUCCGGGGGUAGAGCACUGUUUCGGCUAGGGGGCCAUCCCGGCUUACCAACCCGAUGCAAACUGCGAAUACCGGAGAAUGUUAUCACGGGAGACACACGGCGGGUGCUAACGUCCGUCGUGAAGAGGGAAACAACCCAGACCGCCAGCUAAGGUCCCAAAGUCAUGGUUAAGUGGGAAACGAUGUGGGAAGGCCCAGACAGCCAGGAUGUUGGCUUAGAAGCAGCCAUCAUUUAAAGAAAGCGUAAUAGCUCACUGGUCGAGUCGGCCUGCGCGGAAGAUGUAACGGGGCUAAACCAUGCACCGAAGCUGCGGCAGCGACACUAUGUGUUGUUGGGUAGGGGAGCGUUCUGUAAGCCUGUGAAGGUGGCCUGUGAGGGUUGCUGGAGGUAUCAGAAGUGCGAAUGCUGACAUAAGUAACGAUAAAGCGGGUGAAAAGCCCGCUCGCCGGAAGACCAAGGGUUCCUGUCCAACGUUAAUCGGGGCAGGGUGAGUCGACCCCUAAGGCGAGGCCGAAAGGCGUAGUCGAUGGGAAACGGGUUAAUAUUCCCGUACUUGGUGUUACUGCGAAGGGGGGACGGAGAAGGCUAUGUUGGCCGGGCGACGGUUGUCCCGGUUUAAGCGUGUAGGUGUGUGUUCCAGGUAAAUCCGGUUCACUUUAACACUGAGGCGUGACGACGAGGCACUACGGUGCUGAAGCAACAAAUGCCCUGCUUCCAGGAAAAGCCUCUAAGCAUCAGGUAACAUCAAAUCGUACCCCAAACCGACACAGGUGGUCAGGUAGAGAAUACCAAGGCGCUUGAGAGAACUCGGGUGAAGGAACUAGGCAAAAUGGUGCCGUAACUUCGGGAGAAGGCACGCUGACACGUAGGUGAAGUGAUUUACUCAUGGAGCUGAAGUCAGUCGAAGAUACCAGCUGGCUGCAACUGUUUAUUAAAAACACAGCACUGUGCAAACACGAAAGUGGACGUAUACGGUGUGACGCCUGCCCGGUGCCGGAAGGUUAAUUGAUGGGGUCAGCGCAAGCGAAGCUCCUGAUCGAAGCCCCGGUAAACGGCGGCCGUAACUAUAACGGUCCUAAGGUAGCGAAAUUCCUUGUCGGGUAAGUUCCGACCUGCACGAAUGGCGUAAUGAUGGCCAGGCUGUCUCCACCCGAGACUCAGUGAAAUUGAACUCGCUGUGAAGAUGCAGUGUACCCGCGGCAAGACGGAAAGACCCCGUGAACCUUUACUAUAGCUUGACACUGAACAUUGAGCCUUGAUGUGUAGGAUAGGUGGGAGGCUUUGAAGUGUGGACGCCAGUCUGCAUGGAGCCGGCCUUGAAAUACCACCCUUUAAUGUUUGAUGUUCUAACGUGGACCCGUGAUCCGGGUUGCGGACAGUGUCUGGUGGGUAGUUUGACUGGGGCGGUCUCCUCCUAAAGAGUAACGGAGGAGCACGAAGGUUGGCUAAUCCUGGUCGGACAUCAGGAGGUUAGUGCAAUGGCAUAAGCCAGCUUGACUGCGAGCGUGACGGCGCGAGCAGGUGCGAAAGCAGGUCAUAGUGAUCCGGUGGUUCUGAAUGGAAGGGCCAUCGCUCAACGGAUAAAAGGUACUCCGGGGAUAACAGGCUGAUACCGCCCAAGAGUUCAUAUCGACGGCGGUGUUUGGCACCUCGAUGUCGGCUCAUCACAUCCUGGGGCUGAAGUAGGUCCCAAGGGUAUGGCUGUUCGCCAUUUAAAGUGGUACGCGAGCUGGGUUUAGAACGUCGUGAGACAGUUCGGUCCCUAUCUGCCGUGGGCGCUGGAGAACUGAGGGGGGCUGCUCCUAGUACGAGAGGACCGGAGUGGACGCAUCACUGGUGUUCGGGUUGUCAUGCCAAUGGCACUGCCCGGUAGCUAAAUGCGGAAGAGAUAAGUGCUGAAAGCAUCUAAGCACGAAACUUGCCCCGAGAUGAGUUCUCCCUGAGACUUAGAGUCUCCUGAAGGAACGUUGAAGACGACGACGUUGAUAGGCCGGGUGUGUAAGCGCAGCGAUGCGUUGAGCUAACCGGUACUAAUGAACCGUGAGGCUUAACCUUACAACGCCGAAG
Molecule: ribosomal RNA, 3027 nt
Filed under: Salmonella enterica subsp. enterica serovar Gaminara str. SA20063285
Lineage: Bacteria; Pseudomonadati; Pseudomonadota; Gammaproteobacteria; Enterobacterales; Enterobacteriaceae
Description: bacterial LSU rRNA
Rfam family: Bacterial large subunit ribosomal RNA
Source: RNAcentral